RNAcentral lists this long non-coding RNA (466 nucleotides) under Homo sapiens (human). RNAcentral describes it as "non-protein coding LINC00661:3". The record is from RNAcentral. Lineage: Eukaryota; Metazoa; Chordata; Mammalia; Primates; Hominidae.
UGGGUAAUCCUCCGCCCACAGUCAAUAGGGGUCUGCAGCUGGGGCAAGGUCAGCGGGGAUCUGAUCAGUGAGACCUAGUCAGGUCUCACUGACUGACUAGGCCCUGGGGGUUGGGGCCUGGCCAGCAAGAGUCCAGUAGUUGGGGCGUGUUUGGCGAGGGUCUCAUGGUUGGGGUCUGGCCAGCGGGGGUCCCACAGUUGGGGCCUGGUGAGCAGAGAUCUGGCAGUUGCAGCCUCGUCCAUGGGGGUCUGGCAGUUGGGGCCUGGUCAGUGGGGUCUGGCGGUUGGGGCCUGGUCAGUGAGGAUCAGAUCAGUGCGGUCUAGGCAGUGAGGUCUGGACGCUGGGCCUUCAUCUGCAUGGGUCUCGCAGUUGGGACCUGGUCAGCAGGGGUCUACCAGUUGGGGCCUGGUUGGCGGAAUCAGGCAGUUGGGACCUGGUUGUCGGGGGUCCAACAGUUGGGGCCUGG